This 345-nucleotide ribosomal RNA is filed under the name uncultured bacterium. Its description in RNAcentral is "bacterial SSU rRNA". It matches the Rfam family "Bacterial small subunit ribosomal RNA", at positions 8 to 334 of the family's 1533-position model. The record is from RNAcentral.
AGGGUUCGAUCAUGGCUCAGGAUGAACGCUGGCGGCGUGCUUAACACAUGCAAGUCGAACGGGGAACCCUUGAAGGAGUUUUCGGACAACUGAUAGGAAUUCCUAGUGGCGGACGGGUGAGUAACGCGUGAGGAACCUGCCUUGGAGUGGGGAAUAACACAGAGAAAUCUGUGCUAAUACCGCAUGAUGCAGUUGGGUCGCAUGGCUCUGACUGCCAAAGAUUUAUCGCUCUGAGAUGGCCUCGCGUCUGAUUAGCUAGUAGGCGGGGUAACGGCCCACCUAGGCGACGAUCAGUAGCCGGACUGAGAGGUUGGCCGGCCACAUUGGGACUGAGACACGGCCCAG